RNAcentral lists this small RNA (75 nucleotides) under Methylobacterium sp. ap11. RNAcentral describes it as "suhB". It matches the Rfam family "Makes More Granules Regulator RNA (mmgR)". Rfam says of the family: SuhB later renamed mmgR (makes more granules regulator) was a putative non-coding RNA found multiple times in the Agrobacterium tumefaciens genome and related alpha-proteobacteria. Other non-coding RNAs uncovered in the same analysis include: speF, ybhL, metA, and serC. The record is from RNAcentral. Lineage: Bacteria; Pseudomonadati; Pseudomonadota; Alphaproteobacteria; Hyphomicrobiales; Methylobacteriaceae.
CCUUGCUGCCCUCUUUGGGCGUUUCCUCCCUAGACUUCGGGCCACCCGCAAGGGUGGCCUUUUUUCUUUGGGGCA